AUCCUGGCUCAGAACGACCGCUGGCGGCAGUCCUAACACAUGCAAGUCGAGCGCCCUCUUCGGAGGGAGCGGCGGACGGGUUAGUAACGCGUGGGAACGUGCCCUUCUCUAAGGAAUAGCCUCUGGAAACGGAGAGUAAUACCUUAUACGCCCUUCGGGGGAAAGAUUUAUCGGAGAAGGAUCGGCCCGCGUUAGAUUAGAUAGUUGGUGGGGUAACGGCCUACCAAGUCGACGAUCUAUAGCUGGUUUGAGAGGAUGAUCAGCAACACUGGGACUGAGACACGGCCCAGACUCCUACGGGAGGCAGCAGUGGGGAAUCUUAGACAAUGGGCGCAAGCCUGAUCUAGCCAUGCCGCGUGAGCGAUGAAGGCCUUAGGGUCGUAAAACUCUUUCGCCAGGGAUGAUAAUGACAGUACCUGGUAAAGAAACCCCGGCUAACUCCGUGCCAGCAGCCGCGGUAAUACGGAGGGGGUUAGCGUUGUUCGGAAUUACUGGGCGUAAAGCGCGCGUAGGCGGACCGUUAAGUUAGGGGUGAAAUCCCGGGGCUCAACCCCGGAACUGCCCUUAAUACUGGCGGUCUUGAGUUCGAGAGAGGUGAGUGGAAUUCCGAGUGUAGAGGUGAAAUUCGUAGAUAUUCGGAGGAACACCAGUGGCGAAGGCGGCUCACUGGCUCGAUACUGACGCUGAGGUGCGAAAGCG
Molecule: ribosomal RNA, 699 nt
Filed under: cf. Ruegeria sp. J484
Lineage: Bacteria; Pseudomonadati; Pseudomonadota; Alphaproteobacteria; Rhodobacterales; Paracoccaceae
Description: bacterial SSU rRNA
Rfam family: Bacterial small subunit ribosomal RNA
Source: RNAcentral